CUCGUCCGCCCCGGGUGCGGGGGCGAGCUGCUGCACCCACUCCCCUCCUCCAACUCCCCCACCCCUCCUCCAAUGGAGAGAGGCGUCGUGCCUAUUGACAGGACGGGACAUGGGGGUGGAGGCGAGGGAGAGAGCGGGUGUUGCUGAAGAAGCUGGGGAGGCAAGACGAGGGCGGCGUGGCGUUCCGUGGCCGCGGUGGCCGGAGGGGCGGCUCCACGUCGCGGUGUAUGAGGUGCCUAGAGGAGGAUGCCGCGGCAGGUUAAACUCCUCUCCCGUUGUAGAGCAGUCCACAGUGUCGUCACCGUCGUCCUUGCCUUCGAGCCAUCCAUGACGCCGUCGCCGUCGCCUAGAGGACGCCGGUAGGAAGCAGCAGCUCGCCGUUUCCUUGGUCCCAGCCGACGCCAAGCGAGAAGAGAAGGCACGUGUGCUGUAGGUGUAGCAAAUUGGACAAGCUACACCGCUAAUGCCGGGUGUAUGGAGCUCAGGAAGGCUAUCUGCAACAAGCUUCAGGAGGAUAAUGGUCUAACCUAUAGCCCAGAUCAUGUGCUAGCGACCAAUGGGGCUAAGCAAUGCACUACACACGCU
Long non-coding RNA from Aegilops tauschii subsp. strangulata, 585 nucleotides. RefSeq lists it as uncharacterized. Lineage: Eukaryota; Viridiplantae; Streptophyta; Magnoliopsida; Poales; Poaceae. The record is from RefSeq and is a predicted model, not a curated record.